This 365-nucleotide ribosomal RNA is filed under the name uncultured bacterium. Its description in RNAcentral is "partial 16S ribosomal RNA". It matches the Rfam family "Bacterial small subunit ribosomal RNA", at positions 338 to 700 of the family's 1533-position model. The record is from RNAcentral.
CCUACGGGUGGCAGCAGUGAGGAAUAUUGGUCAAUGGGCGCGAGCCUGAACCAGCCAAGUAGCGUGAAGGAUGACGGCCCGACGGGAGGUAAAAUGCGGUUAUAAAGGAAUAAAGUGAGGCACGUGUGCCUUUUUGUAUGUACUUUAUGAAUAAGGAUCGGCUAACUCCGUGCCAGCAGCCGCGGUAAUACGGAGGAUCCGAGCGUUAUCCGGAUUUAUUGGGUUUAAAGGGAGCGUAGUUGGGUUGUUAAGUCAGUUGUGAAGAUUUUCGGCUCAACCGUAAAAUUGCAAUUGAUACUGGCAGCCUUGAGUUCAGUUGAGGUAGGCGUAAUUCGUGGUGUAGCGGUGACAUGCUUAUAUCUCAC